CGAAGCAACGCGAAAAACCUUACCAGGUCUUGACAUCCUCUGAAAACCCUAGAGAUAGGGCUUCUCCUUCGGGAGCAGAGUGACAGGUGGUGCAUGGUUGUCGUCAGCUCGUGUCGUGAGAUGUUGGGUUAAGUCCCGCAACGAGCGCAACCCUUGAUCUUAGUUGCCAUCAUUAAGUUGGGCACUCUAAGGUGACUGCCGGUGACAAACCGGAGGAAGGUGGGGAUGACGUCAAAUCAUCAUGCCCCUUAUGACCUGGGCUACACACGUGCUACAAUGGACGGUACAAAGAGCUGCAAGACCGCGAGGUGGAGCUAAUCUCAUAAAACCGUUCUCAGUUCGGAUUGUAGGCUGCAACUCGCCUACAUGAAGCUGGAAUCGCUAGUAAUCGCGGAUCAGCAUGCCGCGGUGAAUACGUUCCCGGGCCUUGUACACACCGCCCGUCACACCACGAGAGUUUGUAACACCCGAAGUCGGUGGGGUAACCUUUUUGGAGCCAGCCGCCUAAGGUGGGACAGAUGAUUGGGGUGAAGUCU
Molecule: ribosomal RNA, 536 nt
Filed under: Bacillus cereus
Lineage: Bacteria; Bacillati; Bacillota; Bacilli; Caryophanales; Bacillaceae
Description: bacterial SSU rRNA
Rfam family: Bacterial small subunit ribosomal RNA
Source: RNAcentral